GUCUUAUCGAGAGUGGCAGAGGGACUGGCCCUGUGAAGCCACAGCAACCGGUCUUGUCUAGUAAAUAAGCUAGGCAGGAUGCUGGUGCUAAUUCCUGUCUCAUGAUUUGGGAAAAGAUAAGAU
Regulatory RNA element from Candidatus Jettenia caeni, 123 nucleotides. It matches the Rfam family "SAM riboswitch aptamer (S box leader)". Rfam says of the family: The SAM riboswitch is found upstream of a number of genes which code for proteins involved in methionine or cysteine biosynthesis in Gram-positive bacteria. The SAM riboswitch acts at the level of transcription termination control. The predicted structure consists of a complex stem-loop region followed by a single stem loop terminator region. Lineage: Bacteria; Pseudomonadati; Planctomycetota; Candidatus Brocadiia; Candidatus Brocadiales; Candidatus Brocadiaceae. The record is from Rfam.